RNAcentral lists this ribosomal RNA (774 nucleotides) under uncultured bacterium. RNAcentral's name for it is "bacterial SSU rRNA". It matches the Rfam family "Bacterial small subunit ribosomal RNA", at positions 74 to 859 of the family's 1533-position model. The record is from RNAcentral.
UCCAGCUUGCUGGGGGGAUUAGUGGCGAACGGGUGAGUAACACGUGAGUAACCUGCCCUUGACUCUGGGAUAAGCCUGGGAAACUGGGUCUAAUACCGGAUACGACCGAUCACCGCAUGGUGUGUUGGUGGAAAGCUUUUGCGGUUUUGGAUGGACUCGCGGCCUAUCAGCUUGUUGGUGGGGUAAUGGCCUACCAAGGCGACGACGGGUAGCCGGCCUGAGAGGGUGACCGGCCACACUGGGACUGAGACACGGCCCAGACUCCUACGGGAGGCAGCAGUGGGGAAUAUUGCACAAUGGGCGAAAGCCUGAUGCAGCGACGCCGCGUGAGGGAUGACGGCCUUCGGGUUGUAAACCUCUUUCAGUAGGGAAGAAGCGUAAGUGACGGUACCUGCAGAAGAAGCGCCGGCUAACUACGUGCCAGCAGCCGCGGUAAUACGUAGGGCGCAAGCGUUAUCCGGAAUUAUUGGGCGUAAAGAGCUCGUAGGCGGUUUGUCGCGUCUGCUGUGAAAGACCGGGGCUCAACUCCGGUUCUGCAGUGGGUACGGGCAGACUAGAGUGAUGUAGGGGAGACUGGAAUUCCUGGUGUAGCGGUGAAAUGCGCAGAUAUCAGGAGGAACACCGAUGGCGAAGGCAGGUCUCUGGGCAUUAACUGACGCUGAGGAGCGAAAGCAUGGGGAGCGAACAGGAUUAGAUACCCUGGUAGUCCAUGCCGUAAACGUUGGGCACUAGGUGUGGGGGACAUUCCACGUUUUCCGCGCCGUAGCUAACGCA